Molecule: unclassified non-coding RNA, 274 nt
Filed under: plant metagenome
Description: partial contains small subunit ribosomal RNA and internal transcribed spacer 1
Rfam family: Eukaryotic small subunit ribosomal RNA (bases 1-46)
Source: RNAcentral
AAGUCGUAACAAGGUUUCCGUAGGUGAACCUGCGGAAGGAUCAUUAAUAAAUGCGUGGGAAGGUAUGCGGGGAAGGGUGUCCUUGGUAGAGGUAUACUGCCUCCCGAAAUGAGGGACACGCCAACCGCAUUCCGGAACACACAGUUACACCCUUGAUUAUUUACAAUUGUUGCUUUGGUGGACCGCCUCCGGGCGUGGGCCUUGGCCUGCCGUGUCCGCCAGAGGACCCAAACUCUGUUUUUAGUGACGUCUGAGUACUAUAUAAUAGUUAAAA